AGGUGGAGCGAAUCUCACAAAGUACGUCGUAGUCCGGAUUGGAGUCUGCAACUCGACUCCAUGAAGUCGGAAUCGCUAGUAAUCGCAAAUCAGAAUGUUGCGGUGAAUACGUUCCCGGGCCUUGUACACACCGCCCGUCACACCAUGGGAGUGGGCUGCAAAAGAAGCAGGUAGUUUAACCUUCGGGAGGACGCUUGCCACUUUGUGGUUCAUGACUGGGGUGAAGUCGUAACAAGGUAGCGCUAGGGGAACCUGGCGCUGGAUCACCUCCUUACACGA
RNAcentral lists this ribosomal RNA (279 nucleotides) under Vibrio cholerae. Its description in RNAcentral is "partial 16S ribosomal RNA". It matches the Rfam family "Bacterial small subunit ribosomal RNA", at positions 1260 to 1533 of the family's 1533-position model. The record is from RNAcentral. Lineage: Bacteria; Pseudomonadati; Pseudomonadota; Gammaproteobacteria; Vibrionales; Vibrionaceae.